Molecule: ribosomal RNA, 489 nt
Filed under: uncultured bacterium
Lineage: Bacteria
Description: partial 16S ribosomal RNA
Rfam family: Bacterial small subunit ribosomal RNA
Source: RNAcentral
AGUGAGCGCUGGCGGCAGGCCUAACACAUGCAAGUCGAACGGCAGCACAAGAGAGCUUGCUCUCUGGGUGGCGAGUGGCGGACGGGUGAGGAAUGCAUCGGAAUCUGCCCAUUUGUGGGGGAUAACCUCGGGAAACCGGGACUAAUACCGCAUACGACCUACGGGUGAAAGCAGGGGAUCUUCGGACCUUGCGCAGAUGGAUGAGCCGAUGCCGGAUUAGCUAGUUGGAGGGGUAAAGGCCCACCAAGGCGACGAUCCGUAGCUGGUCUGAGAGGAUGAUCAGCCACCCUGGGACGGGGACACGGCCCGAACCCCUAGGGGGGGCAGCAGUGGGGAAUUUUGGAAAAUGGGCGAAACCCUAAUCCACCCAUGCCGCGGGGGUGAAAAAGGCCUUCGGGUUUUAAACCACUUUUGUUGGGAAAAAAAAGCGGCCGGUUAAAACCCGGUUGUCUGGACGGUACCCAAAAAAAAAGCCCCGGCUAACUUCGG